GGACCAAACUCCUACGGGAGGCAGCAGUGAGGAAUAUUGGUCAAUGGACGAGAGUCUGAACCAGCCAAGUCGCGUGAAGGAAGACGGAUCUAUGGUUUGUAAACUUCUUUAGUGCGGGAACAAAGCGGCGUCGUGACGCCUGAUGAGUGUACCGCAAGAAUAAGCAUCGGCUAACUCCGUGCCAGCAGCCGCGGUAAUACGGAGGAUGCGAGCGUUAUCCGGAUUUAUUGGGUUUAAAGGGAGCGCAGGCUGCGAGGCAAGUCAGCGGUCAAAUGUCGGGGCUCAACCCCGGCCUGCCGUUGAAACUGUCCUGCUAGAGUUCGAGUGAGGUAUGCGGAAUGCGUUGUGUAGCGGUGAAAUGCAUAGAUAUGACGCAGAACUCCGAUUGCGAAGGCAGCAUACCAACUCGCGACUGACGCUGAGGCUCGAAAGCGUGGGUAUCGAACAGGAUUAGAUACCCUGGUAGUCCACGCAGUAAACGAUGAAUACUAACUGUUCGGAGGGCGACCUCUGAGUGGUAAAGCGAAAGCGUUAAGUAUUCCACCUGGGGAGUAC
Molecule: ribosomal RNA, 555 nt
Filed under: uncultured bacterium
Lineage: Bacteria
Description: bacterial SSU rRNA
Rfam family: Bacterial small subunit ribosomal RNA
Source: RNAcentral